This 253-nucleotide ribosomal RNA is filed under the name uncultured bacterium. Its description in RNAcentral is "partial 16S ribosomal RNA". It matches the Rfam family "Bacterial small subunit ribosomal RNA", at positions 524 to 776 of the family's 1533-position model. The record is from RNAcentral.
UACGUAGGUGGCAAGCGUUGUCCGGAUUUACUGGGCGUAAAGAGCGCGCAGGCGGUCGAUUUAGUCGCGUGUGAAAGCCCCCGGCUUAACUGGGGAGGGUCACGCGAUACUGAUCGACUCGAAGGCAGGAGAGGGUAGUGGAAUUCCCGGUGUAGUGGUGAAAUGCGUAGAUAUCGGGAGGAACACCAGUGGCGAAGGCGACUACCUGGCCUGUUCUUGACGCUGAGGCGCGAAAGCUAGGGGAGCAAACGGG